AAUGAACGCUGGCGGCGUGCCUAAUACAUGCAAGUCGAACGCGAGAGGAGGGAGCUUGCUCCCUCUGAUCGAGUGGCGGACGGGUGAGUAACACGUAGGCAACCUGCCCAUCAGUCCGGGAUAACCGCGGGAAACCGUGGCUAAUACCGGAUGAUCCUCUCCACCGCGGGGUGGGGAGUUGAAAGACGGUUUCGGCUGUCGCUGAUGGAUGGGCCUGCGGCGCAUUAGCUGGUUGGCGGGGUAACGGCCCACCAAGGCAACGAUGCGUAGCCGACCUGAGAGGGUGAUCGGCCACACUGGGACUGAGACACGGCCCAGACUCCUACGGGAGGCAGCAGUAGGGAAUCUUCCGCAAUGGACGCAAGUCUGACGGAGCAACGCCGCGUGAGUGAAGAAGGGUUUCGGCUCAUAAAACUCUGUUGUUAAGGAAGAACGACAGGUAGAGUAACUGCUACCUGUGUGACGGUACUUAACCAGAAAGCCACGGCUAACUACGUGCCAGCAGCCGCGGUAA
This 514-nucleotide ribosomal RNA is filed under the name uncultured bacterium. Its description in RNAcentral is "partial 16S ribosomal RNA". It matches the Rfam family "Bacterial small subunit ribosomal RNA", at positions 29 to 523 of the family's 1533-position model. The record is from RNAcentral.